Molecule: long non-coding RNA, 2568 nt
Filed under: Homo sapiens (human)
Lineage: Eukaryota; Metazoa; Chordata; Mammalia; Primates; Hominidae
Description: HSALNT0346167
Source: RNAcentral
GUUGGGACUGCUCAGGAAAUAAGAGGCAGAACAUGUGUGCGUGUUUUUAAAAAAAGCACAGAGCGCUUGCUGGGGACCCAGAUGCUUAUCCGGGCUGUUGGCCUGUAGCACAAAGUAGAUCCUGAAAGAAAAAGGAAAGAAAAAAGAAAGGUAUUCUCCAAGAAGAGAGGUCCUUUUAAAGAAUGAGCAUCAAGCAUCCACUCUAAAAGGAAGAUGGAGAAAGCCAGUGCAAGGCCUGCCUGUUGGGCAUCAUGUGGAUUUGCCCUUGGCUCUUGUGUUCACUCGGAGCCCUCUGGUGUCCCGUUUCCAGCUGGGCUGUGCACGCACCCUGGGGAUUCAGUGGAAGAGGAGCAAUCUGAAUCCAGCAGUGCUGAGAAAACCCAAGAGCUACAUGGCCAGCAUUUCCCAUCAGAGAGCCAACAGGGCCCCUGGUUUUGCCUUCCCGCCCACCAGCCCUGGUUAAUGGAGCUUUUGUUCUGCCUGAUGCUGCCUUGCUAAUCAGGGUGUAUCAUAUGGGAGCUAUCAGGAGAGCGGGGCCUGCUUCACAAAGGAACACAGGUAAUCUAUGAGUAAGCCUUCGUGGUUCGGUGACAGAAUGACAUCCUAAAGAGGGUGGAUGGGGUCUAUGGACUGAAGACACUAGGAAUAGAAACCUGUUAGCUCUCACUUAAGGGUUUUCAGUGGUUAUAUUAACCAUGACUUCCUACAUCUCUCUAAUAUGGAAAUGUCUGUGGGUUUUUCCAGCUUCCCAGAUCCCUUCCUGCUUUGAAGUGAGCUGUCAUUUUCUAGACUGUUGUUGCCUGGGAAACUGUGGCCCAGUUUUGGCCUCAGAAGGCAUUUUAGUGGGCUUGAAAGACUUUCCAAUUGCUACCCUUCCAGUAGGGGUCAUUGCUCACAAAGCCAUCUCCCUCUAAACAGCUCCAUUUCAGCACCAAAAGUAAAUGAAGCAGGAGGCUGUGUUUACAGGUUGGGGCAGGUUCGCAUCAAAUAUAUUUUUGAAAAAUACCAUGAAGUUCAGUGUUUUGUUGUAAUUUCCUAAAGGAAAGAAAAGCUGUCAUUCAUUCAUUCAUUCAUAUAUUCAAUACAUGCUUAUUAACAUUGUCCUAGGUGCUAGUAACAUAUGAACAAUAUGAACAAACUCUCCAAGUUCCUUCAGACUCUCAGGAGAGUUAGACAAUAAAAAUACCCAGACAAAUAAACAAGAUGAUUGCUUUUAUGAUAAGAAGCACUGUUUGAGUGCAGAACACAGUAAACUUGUGUCAGAGUGUUCUUUUCUCCCAAAUUAUGACAAAAAUGAGACUUCUGUAUUGUGCUUUACAACUAGCAAAGCCUUUUCAUCUAUAUCAUCCUGUCCUCAUAACAGCCUCAUUGGAGACACAGUGAGUAUUAUUAUCACUUUACAGAUGAAGCAAUGGAAGCACAGAGAGGUUAAGGGACUUGCACAAUGUCACAUGUCGAAUAAACUAUGGACCCAGUACUUAAAGCCAGAUCUUCUCACUCUAAAUUUAGUGCUCUUUUUUCCCUACUUUUUCAUGUCUCCACAUCUCCAAGAUUAUGGGGUUUGUGGGAGCUACUUUGAUAACAGUCAGGGACUGAUGAUUGAGCAGAGAGAGGAAGGCGGGUUAGUGGGGAGGCCUGGGGAGCCCUUUAGCCAAGAAUGAGUUUUUCACAAGAGCAGGAAAGUUCCUUAAGUGGCCUUUGGCUUUGCAGAGGCUCUGCUUCAUCUCUUCUUGACGUUGUCCCUGGGAAGAGGGGAGCUGGGGUGGAUGCGAUGGGGAAGGAAGGGAAGGUUGUCAUUUCAAUGUUGUCUGUUAUUUAUCCACACAGCCCCUGGGGCCCUAUUUUCAGACUUGUCUGCUUGCCCAGAAAGGGGCAGACCCAGGAUUCACAGAAAUUAGAAGCACAUACACUUGGCCUGGCCAACAGCAGUGAUGAAGAGAGAUGCAUGCCGGUUUAAACCAGUACCUUCAACAUUCAGGAACAGCACAGCUCCAGGAAGAGCAGGGAACUCUUCUGCCUGCUUAAAAGUGAAGGCCUCUAAUCAGAAUCAGAGCUUCAUUGAAUGUUAGAAUUGCAAUGGAUUUUGGCCAUGACAGUCCAACAACUUUAUUUCACAGACAAAGGACCGGGAGGUAGUGUGACUUGGCCAGAGUCAUGCAGUGAUUUAGUGAAUACCAGAGCUGGGGCAAGGAUGCAGCCCUUCUGACUCCUGACCCUUUCUCUCUCUUCCUCAUCAGGUUGCCUUUAGAGUUGGCUACAAAACUUAGAGCUUGGUGAUGGCUCAGGCACAAAAGAGCUGGCUGUACUUGAGGCUGACUUCCAUUCUACCUGUGACUAUUACAUUCAAGGUAGUGAACGCUUGAAGCCUCUGGCAUCCUGAUCCCAUGAUUACUGCAGAGAAAAGAGGUAAAUCAAGAACUGCUUGGGGAACAGCAUCAUCAUCGGUUCUGGCAUGUGCAUCUAAGCAAGGCGUGCCUCUCAGGAAGGAUUUCACUCUUUGUUGUAACUGUAUCAUACCUUUUACAAAAAGUCACUUUGAGGUCACUUUUUUUUUGUCCAGUAUUUCAA